Molecule: ribosomal RNA, 378 nt
Filed under: uncultured bacterium
Lineage: Bacteria
Description: bacterial SSU rRNA
Rfam family: Bacterial small subunit ribosomal RNA
Source: RNAcentral
GACGAACGCUGGCGGCGUGCUUAACACAUGCAAGUCGAGCGGUAAGGCCCUUUCGGGGGUACACGAGCGGCGAACGGGUGAGUAACACGUGGGUGACCUGCCCUUAGCUCUGGGAUAAGCCUGGGAAACUGGGUCUAAUACCGGAUAUGACUCCAUAACGCAUGUUGUGGGGUGGAAAGCCUUGUGCGGCUAGGGAUGGGCCCGCGGCCUAUCAGCUUGUUGGGUGGGGUGAUGGCCACCAAGGCGACGACGGGUAGCCGGCCUGAGAGGGCGACCGGCCACACUGGGACUGAGACACGGCCCAGACUCCUACGGGAGGCAGCAGUGGGGAAUCUUGCGCAAUGGGCGAAAGCCUGACGCAGCGACGCCGCGUGGGGA